Betta splendens (Siamese fighting fish) is the source of this 2054-nucleotide long non-coding RNA. RefSeq lists it as uncharacterized. The record is from RefSeq and is a predicted model, not a curated record. The transcript has 3 exons. NCBI's taxonomy places the organism in Eukaryota, Metazoa, Chordata, Actinopteri, Anabantiformes, Osphronemidae.
AUCUGAAAAUAAAAUAUUCCUCAAAUAAGGAGUUUCCCCAGUUUAACUGUUUCUCAAUUGCCUGAAGGAGGAGUCACAUGGUUUAUUUCUGCAUUCACAAUGGAUACGUUUCAUAUUUUGUAGAUCUCUAGCAACUAGUUCACGUUAGUCAUGUGGACUCUUAAACAACAAGGCAACAAGGAACAAAAAUAGUGUCAUAUGCAACACAAUCAAACCCAUAUAAGUGAACUUCCUCCAAUGUUGCCAUAAUAAACAACUCUGCCCACAAAGUGUCCAGAAUCACAUUACCUAACAUAGAGAAGUGCUAUUAAUAAACUAUUGCAAAUUGUUUUGAAAAAAGUUAACAUUGUUAUAUGUCGUGAUCUACUGCUUCUGUGUUUUGUUUUGUCUAAAGUAUCUCUCUUAUUUCGCUGUAGCCACGCCCAUUUUCUAUAUUGCUCGCCUUCCUUUCACGUCUGGGCCACGCCCCCUCUAUGUUCUAGUCCGGCUCAAAAGAUCAUCAAGAAAUAAUGCUUCUUCUUCCUCUCAGCCUUUUGUCUUAAAUUUCUCCCUACGAUUACUAUGGAGAACCGAGCCGCCAUGAUCAAAUAUAAAGAAAAAAGGAAAUAAAUGUUUUUUUUAUUUUUUUAAUUAUGAUUACAAAUAUAUAAAACUUUGAAAAAAGAAAUGUAUAAAUGCUUAUAUUUCCAGUAAAACACUUAUUAAUAUUCACGUUAUUUAUUUUUCUAUUUUUUUAAGAAAGAUUUAUGCAUUUAGCUUUUCCUAUUCUCAAGCCGUUAUUCUUUUCGCAAAGUAGGCAAAUGAGCCGGACGUGUCUUAAUUGAGUCACUGCAGUCAUUGGUCAAUUUGUGAAGCGUUUCCUAAUCGAUUCCUCUCGUUUAGACACUGGGUGAAUGCUACAGCAAUGCAUCAUGGUCUAGCUAGCAUUAGCAAUGGAUCUUCGGCAGAUAGAAAACAUCUUAAGGUGUUUGUGGACAAUUCAGAAAGUUUUACACCAGACGUCAUGGUGUUUUAAAUUGAUUUGAUUUAGGAAAACUUGUUCAGUUUAUCUGACAAUACGGGCAGAGAAAUACCAAAGCUGCCCUUCAUAAAACCGUGGAAACCUUCGAAGGAAUCGACAUCGUCUGCAACAAAGCUGCUCCUAAACGAAUCACAGUGGGAGAGAAGUGUCUCCGUGAACUUGCUACACCUUUACCUGACGUCUCUCUGGGUUUUCUUCACCAGUUUGUUGUGACCAUCAACACUGAUACCUCUGUGUGGUAGCUGGGUCUCAUUAAGGCUCACAUAUCUGGCUCUGCAGCACAUGAACGAGCUGACUGGAGUCAUGUGGGUCAUCAUCAACAAGGCCUCCAUUGAAAGUAUUCACCCUGAUGCCGUCUGAUGUAACCCAGUUGCUCCAGGUCUCACUCCACUAAUAGGAUGUCCUGGCUACACGGCAACGAGUACAGUGUGGUCGGCUUCACUCUUUAGCCAUGGACACCGGCUGAUGUGAUGAGGUGCCUCCUGGAGCUGGUGACGGACGAAACAAAGAACGGAGAAACCGUGAUGGUGAAAUAUAAUCUGAAGAAAUACAUGACAUUUACUUCUCUGGUUUGAGAAGCUCAUGAUGAGAACAAUCCACAACAACAUCAAAUAAGUAAAUCAAUAAUAUAUCAAACAUCUGAUUCAUAUACUGCCUUUUUAUAACCAAUAAUUUCUAAAGGAUCGGUCAAACCAGUAUCUUUCUUGCAACAUUUUCUUGCAUAAAGUGGCUCAAUUCCAGAGGUGACAGGAAACCGUAGCUGGUCCAACGACGCCCUGAAUUAAAGACGCUGGUCUCACUGUCAUGAACAACACAUCAGCAUUUUAUGGGUCAAAUUGCACUUUAAUGCACCUGACACCAGACAAACACUGCUGUUAGUUACAGCCUAAAGCUAAACUGCCUCAUUUAAAGUCAUGUUUAUUAUUAACAAGUAGUUCUACAACAAGUUGUUCUACAAACAAAUGAAAAGGUAAACAUUGUCAAAGUAAAUAACAGCCAGAUGUAAUUUCAAUAAAGGAUCAUUCUAAACCUU